Molecule: long non-coding RNA, 247 nt
Filed under: Brassica rapa (field mustard)
Lineage: Eukaryota; Viridiplantae; Streptophyta; Magnoliopsida; Brassicales; Brassicaceae
Description: long non-coding RNA (BRAP_LNC006995)
Source: RNAcentral
AAAAAGGGAUGUGGACAACAAUAUCUUUAGAACACAACGAUAUAAUCAGAUUCCAGUUAACGAAAAAUGGCUUUUAUUGAUUAAAUGUGGUUGAAUAAAAUAACAGAAAUGAGAUCGAAAUACAAUUAAGAUCGACUACGAAAUAGACCACUUAGAGCUUAAGGUCGAGGUUGAUGAAUGUGGUUAGGUCUCUCUAGGGUUUCACGUGUGUCUCUCUAUCUCGAUAUCUUCUCUUCUUAUAGGUGUG